RNAcentral lists this ribosomal RNA (577 nucleotides) under Roseovarius sp. Schreyahn_AOB_Sali_Kultur_11. RNAcentral describes it as "bacterial SSU rRNA". It matches the Rfam family "Bacterial small subunit ribosomal RNA", at positions 28 to 651 of the family's 1533-position model. The record is from RNAcentral. Lineage: Bacteria; Pseudomonadati; Pseudomonadota; Alphaproteobacteria; Rhodobacterales; Roseobacteraceae.
AACGAACGCUGGCGGCAGGCCUAACACAUGCAAGUCGAGCGAGAUCUUCGGAUCUAGCGGCGGACGGGUGAGUAACGCGUGGGAACGUACCCUCUUCUGCGGGAUAGCCACUGGAAACGGUGAGUAAUACCGCAUACGCCCUUCGGGGGAAAGAUUUAUCGGAGGAGGAUCGGCCCGCGUUGGAUUAGGUAGUUGGUGGGGUAAUGGCCUACCAAGCCUACGAUCCAUAGCUGGUUUUAGAGGAUGAUCAGCCACACUGGGACUGAGACACGGCCCAGACUCCUACGGGAGGCAGCAGUGGGGAAUCUUAGACGAUGGGCGCAAGCCUGAUCUAGCCAUGCCGCGUGAGUGACGAAGGCCUUAGGGUCGUAAAGCUCUUUCGCCUGUGAUGAUAAUGACAGUAGCAGGUAAAGAAACCCCGGCUAACUCCGUGCCAGCAGCCGCGGUAAUACGGAGGGGGUUAGCGUUGUUCGGAAUUACUGGGCGUAAAGCGCACGUAGGCGGAUUGGAAAGUAUGGGGUGAAAUCCCAGGGCUCAACCCUGGAACGGCCUCAUAAACUUCCGGUCUGGAGUUCGA